This 468-nucleotide ribosomal RNA is filed under the name uncultured bacterium. RNAcentral describes it as "partial 16S ribosomal RNA". It matches the Rfam family "Bacterial small subunit ribosomal RNA", at positions 28 to 507 of the family's 1533-position model. The record is from RNAcentral.
GACGAACGCUGGCGGCGUGCUUAACACAUGCAAGUCGAACGGAAAGGCCCUGCUUUUGUGGGGUGCUCGAGUUGCGAACGGGUGAGUAACACGUGAGUAACCUGCCCUUGACUUUGGGAUAACUUCAGGAAACUGGGGCUAAUACCGGAUAGGAGCUCCUGCUGCAUGGUGGGGGUUUGAAAGUUUCGGCGGUUGGGGAUGGACUGGCGGCCUAUCAGCUUGUUGGUGGGGUAGUGGAUUACCAAGGCUUUGACGGGUAGCCGGCCUGAGAGGGUGACCGGCCACAUUGGGACUGAGAUACGGCCCAGACUCCUACGGGAGGCAGCAGUGGGGAAUAUUGCACAAUGGGCGGAAGCCUGAUGCAGCAACGCCGCGUGCGGGAUGACGGCCUUCGGGUUGUAAACCGAUUUCGCCUGUGACGAAGCGUGAGUGACGGUAAUGGGUAAAGAAGCACCGGCUAACUACGUG